AUGGCAUGGAUGUUGCUGCUAUUGCUAUUAGCUGCAUGGGCAACCACUGCCUCUAGCUCCUUGGUGGCGAAGCCAGGCUGCCAGGCCCGAUGCGGCGGCAUCGACGUCCCCUACCCGUUCGGCAUAGGCGCCGGCUGCUUCCGCCCGGGCUUCGAGAUCGUCUGCAACAACAUGACGCCGUUUUUGCCGGACGCCACCGUCGCAGGCCGAAAGCGCCUCGCCGAGCCCGUGCGCGUGCUGAGCCUGAACCUGACCGUGAAAGCGGGCGCGCGGGUCCAGGUGCAGCUGCCUGUGGCGUACAUGUGCUUUGACGCUGCCGGCAACGAGAUCGCCGGCAGCUUCGACGGCAGGCUGACGGUCAACAAGGAGCAGGUGUACCGCAUCUCCAACACCUUCAACGAGCUCUUCGUCCUUGGCUGCAACACCCUCGCCUACGCCGGCAGAGGAUCGCGUUCGAACGCAACAUCGGACGGCUACUAUAGCGGGUGCGUGGCCUACUGCAACAAAAAACAGAGGGCGCGGAACAACAAGUGCGACAGCAUCGGAUGCUGCCGCGUCAACAUCUCACCGUUGCUCACCAACACCAGGAUGAGCUUCGGGAAAUGGUCGGAAGCGCCUGUUGACAUCAGGCGCCCCUGCAGCUACGCCUUCAUCGUGCAGAAGAACCACUACGUCUUCAAGGCCGCCGACCUGAACAUGACGGCGGAACAGGCCAAGCGAUGGAGCAUGCCACUUUGGCUCGACUGGGCCAUCCGCAAUGGUAGUAACUCUCUGCGGUGCCCCCUGCUGAGAAAAACGUCAGAAUACGUUUGCUUGAGCAACCACAGCAAGUGCGUGAAUUCCACCAAUGGGGCGGGAUAUUUCUGCAUAUGCGAGGAAGGCUACGAGGGCAACCCAUACCUUGACAACGGAUGCACGGAUAUCGACGAGUGUAAACAGCCACAAUUAUAUGCAUGCUUCGGCAAGUGUACCAACAGAGAGGGAUCUUUCGAGUGCACGUGCUCACACGGAUACCAAGGAAACGCCACCCACAAAGAUGGUUGUGUCCAGUCCAUAAACACAGGUUUAAUCAUUGGCCUAUCAGUUUCUAGUGGCCCAACUAUUCUAAUUUUGUUUCUUGCCUCAAAGAUAAUAGUACGCAAGCUUAAGCAUCAGAAGGAACAGAAGUUGAGACAAAAGUUCUUCAAUCAAAAUCGUGGACAAUUGUUGCAAAAAUUGGUAUCUCAUAGGUCAGAUAUUGCAGAGAGGAUGAUCAUCCCACUAAGGGAUCUAGAAAAGGCCACAAACAAGUUCCAUCCAACUCGUAAGCUUGGUGGUGGAGGGCAUGGUACCGUAUACAAAGGAAUUUUAUCAGACUUGCAUGUUGUUGCAAUCAAAAGGUCAAAUAUUGUGGUCAAGAGUGAGAUUAACGAGUUUAUAAAUGAAGUUUCCAUACUCUCACAGAUCAAUCAUAGGAACAUUGUAAAGCUUUUUGGAUGUUGUCUUGAGACAGAAGUCCCCUUGUUGGCUUAUGAGUUCAUUUCCAAUGGAACCCUAUGUGAUUAUCUUCACAAGAAACCACUAAGAUCAGUACCUUGGCGAGACAUAUUAAGGAUUGCAGUAGAAAUUGGCAAAGCCCUUUCUUACCUUCACUCGGGUAUUUCUGUCCCCGUAAUACACAGAGAUAUAAAGUCCACCAAUAUACUUCUUGAUGAUGCUUUGACAGCGAAGGUGUCUGACUUUGGAGCUUCAAGGUACAUUCCUAAAGAUAAAACAACAAUUACAACAGUGGUGCAGGGAACGUUGGGAUAUUUAGAUCCUAUGUACUUUUAUUGUGGCCGUCUAACAGAAAAAAGUGAUGUUUAUAGCUUUGGAGUUAUUCUCAUUGAGUUGCUUACAAGGAAGAUGCCAAUUAUAUAUAGAUCCUCCACUGGUGAUGGGCUAGUUGCACAAUUUGUUGAACUACUUGCAGAAGGUAAAUUGGUAGAAAUACUAGAUCCGCAAGUAAUUGAGGAGGGUGGUACCCAAGUUGAAGUGGUAGCUUCUCUAGCUAUGUCGUGCAUAAAGCUAAGAGCAGAGGAGCGACCAACUAUGAGGUCAGUGGAGAUGACACUAGAAGCACUUCAAGGACCCAAAGAACAUUUUCGGAUUCGGGAUGCAACAUACGAGGGGAGUUAUUCGGCAAUGAGAUAUACACCACCAGUAAGAAGGGCAAGCUUAGAGGACACGAGCAGGCAAUAUAGUCAAGAAGAAGAGUUUGUGUUGUCCGCAAGCUACCCUCGAUAG
RNAcentral lists this ribosomal RNA (2265 nucleotides) under Triticum aestivum (bread wheat). RNAcentral's name for it is "partial small subunit ribosomal RNA". The record is from RNAcentral. Lineage: Eukaryota; Viridiplantae; Streptophyta; Magnoliopsida; Poales; Poaceae.